AAAAAAUUAGUUAAAUGAAUAACAUUAGUAUGUCAAACUAAAAUUACUAAACCAUUUAGUAUUUUUUG
Molecule: transfer RNA, 68 nt
Filed under: Prosthiochaeta sp. CAU WL-2019511
Lineage: Eukaryota; Metazoa; Arthropoda; Insecta; Diptera; Platystomatidae
Description: tRNA-Asp
Source: RNAcentral